AUGAUUAAAACCUUAGAGAAGAAUAUACAGCAAGCAGUGAAGUGAAUGAUUUUAUAUACCAGUAUAAUGGCAGUAUUUAUAUCUUAAGGCCAGUGGUGGAAUCAGUUAUAUAACCCAACAUUGCAAUAGUUCAGUUGUGCAAUGGUAAAUAUGAGGGUUGCCAGCUCAUAAGCUCUUGUUUCACUCAUAUGAAACAAUUGUAGAAAAAUACAAGAUUUUGUUGUGGAAAGUUAACCUUAGUGCAAGGAAGAAAAGGUCGUGACAAGAAUCUCACUAUAGUUGCUGCAAAUGCAGGACAUGCAAAUUUGUGUGCAGCAUUUUAACAGAAAAAUAAAUUUUAUAUAGUUAUCUUUAGGUAGUUGUUAAUCUUUCUUUUGAACAUUUAGUUAAACAUGUAAAUUGUAAUUACAAUGUAACAUUAUAUAUAAUAAAAAAAGGAC
Molecule: long non-coding RNA, 440 nt
Filed under: Mytilus galloprovincialis (Mediterranean mussel)
Lineage: Eukaryota; Metazoa; Mollusca; Bivalvia; Mytilida; Mytilidae
Source: RNAcentral